GGUUAAGCGACUAAGCGUACACGGUGGAUGCCCUGGCAGUCAGAGGCGAUGAAGGACGUGCUAAUCUGCGAAAAGCGUCGGUAAGGUGAUAUGAACCGUUAUAACCGGCGAUGUCCGAAUGGGGAAACCCAGUGCAAUUCGUUGCACUAUCGUUAACUGAAUACAUAGGUUAACGAGGCGAACCGGGGGAACUGAAACAUCUAAGUACCCCGAGGAAAAGAAAUCAACCGAGAUUCCCCCAGUAGCGGCGAGCGAACGGGGAGCAGCCCAGAGUCUGAAUCAGCUUGUGUGUUAGUGGAACGGUCUGGAAAGUCCGACGGUACAGGGUGAUAGUCCCGUACACCAAAAUGCACAGGUUGUGAACUCGAAGAGUAGGGCGGGACACGUGGUAUCCUGUCUGAAUAUGGGGGGACCAUCCUCCAAGGCUAAAUACUCCUGACUGACCGAUAGUGAACCAGUACCGUGAGGGAAAGGCGAAAAGAACCCCGGCGAGGGGAGUGAAAAAGAACCUGAAACCGUGUACGUACAAGCAGUGGGAGCACCUUCGGGUGUGACUGCGUACCUUUUGUAUAAUGGGUCAGCGACUUAUAUUCUGUAGCAAGGUUAACCGUAUAGGGGAGCCGCAGGGAAACCGAGUCUUAACUGGGCGUUAAGUUGCAGGGUAUAGACCCGAAACCCGGUGAUCUAGCCAUGGGCAGGUUGAAGGUUGGGUAACACUAACUGGAGGACCGAACCGACUAAUGUUGAAAAAUUAGCGGAUGACUUGUGGCUGGGGGUGAAAGGCCAAUCAAACCGGGAGAUAGCUGGUUCUCCCCGAAAGCUAUUUAGGUAGCGCCUCGUGAACUCAUCUUCGGGGUAGAGCACUGUUUCGGCUAGGGGGUCAUCCCGACUUACCAACCCGAUGCAAACUACGAAUACCGAAGAAUGUUAUCACGGGAGACACACGGCGGGUGCUAACGUCCGUCGUGAAGAGGGAAACAACCCAGACCGCCAGCUAAGGUCCCAAAGUCAUGGUUAAGUGGGAAACGAUGUGGGAAGGCACAGACAGCCAGGAUGUUGGCUUAGAAGCAGCCAUCAUUUAAAGAAAGCGUAAUAGCUCACUGGUCGAGUCGGCCUGCGCGGAAGAUGUAACGGGGCUAAACCAUGCACCGAAGCUGCGGCAGCGACACUAUGUGUUGUUGGGUAGGGGAGCGUUCUGUAAGCCUGCGAAGGUGUGCUGUGAGGCAUGCUGGAGGUAUCAGAAGUGCGAAUGCUGACAUAAGUAACGAUAAAGCGGGUGAAAAGCCCGCUCGCCGGAAGACCAAGGGUUCCUGUCCAACGUUAAUCGGGGCAGGGUGAGUCGACCCCUAAGGCGAGGCCGAAAGGCGUAGUCGAUGGGAAACAGGUUAAUAUUCCUGUACUUGGUGUUACUGCGAAGGGGGGACGGAGAAGGCUAUGUUAGCCGGGCGACGGUUGUCCCGGUUUAAGCAUGUAGGCUGGUUAUCCAGGCAAAUCCGGAUAAUCAAGGCUGAGGUGUGAUGACGAGGCACUACGGUGCUGAAGUAACAAAUGCCCUGCUUCCAGGAAAAGCCUCUAAGCAUCAGGUAACAUCAAAUCGUACCCCAAACCGACACAGGUGGUCAGGUAGAGAAUACCAAGGCGCUUGAGAGAACUCGGGUGAAGGAACUAGGCAAAAUGGUGCCGUAACUUCGGGAGAAGGCACGCUGGUGUGUAGGUGAAGUCCCUGCGGAUGGAGCUGAGACCAGUCGAAGAUACCAGCUGGCUGCAACUGUUUAUUAAAAACACAGCACUGUGCAAACACGAAAGUGGACGUAUACGGUGUGACGCCUGCCCGGUGCCGGAAGGUUAAUUGAUGGGGUUAUCCGUAAGGAGAAGCUCUUGAUCGAAGCCCCGGUAAACGGCGGCCGUAACUAUAACGGUCCUAAGGUAGCGAAAUUCCUUGUCGGGUAAGUUCCGACCUGCACGAAUGGCGUAAUGAUGGCCAGGCUGUCUCCACCCGAGACUCAGUGAAAUUGAACUCGCUGUGAAGAUGCAGUGUACCCGCGGCAAGACGGAAAGACCCCGUGAACCUUUACUAUAGCUUGACACUGAACAUUGAGCCUUGAUGUGUAGGAUAGGUGGGAGGCUUUGAAGCGUGGACGCCAGUCUGCGUGGAGCCAACCUUGAAAUACCACCCUUUAAUGUUUGAUGUUCUAACGUUGGCCCCUGACCGGGGUUGCGGACAGUGUCUGGUGGGUAGUUUGACUGGGGCGGUCUCCUCCCAAAGCGUAACGGAGGAGCACGAAGGUUAGCUAAUCCUGGUCGGACAUCAGGAGGUUAGUGCAAUGGCAUAAGCUAGCUUGACUGCGAGCGUGACGGCGCGAGCAGGUGCGAAAGCAGGUCAUAGUGAUCCGGUGGUUCUGAAUGGAAGGGCCAUCGCUCAACGGAUAAAAGGUACUCCGGGGAUAACAGGCUGAUACCGCCCAAGAGUUCAUAUCGACGGCGGUGUUUGGCACCUCGAUGUCGGCUCAUCACAUCCUGGGGCUGAAGUAGGUCCCAAGGGUAUGGCUGUUCGCCAUUUAAAGUGGUACGCGAGCUGGGUUUAGAACGUCGUGAGACAGUUCGGUCCCUAUCUGCCGUGGGCGCUGGAGAAUUGAGGGGGGCUGCUCCUAGUACGAGAGGACCGGAGUGGACGCAUCACUGGUGUUCGGGUUGUCAUGCCAAUGGCACUGCCCGGUAGCUAAAUGCGGAAGAGAUAAGUGCUGAAAGCAUCUAAGCACGAAACUUGCCCCGAGAUGAGUUCUCCCUGAGACUAUAAGUCUCCUGAAGGAACGUUAAAGACGAUGACGUUGAUAGGCCGGGUGUGUAAGCGCAGCGAUGCGUUGAGCUAACCGGUACUAAUGAACCGUGAGGCUUAACCUU
Molecule: ribosomal RNA, 2901 nt
Filed under: Klebsiella pneumoniae
Lineage: Bacteria; Pseudomonadati; Pseudomonadota; Gammaproteobacteria; Enterobacterales; Enterobacteriaceae
Description: 23S ribosomal RNA
Rfam family: Bacterial large subunit ribosomal RNA
Source: RNAcentral